CAGUCGCCACGGGAAUACGGAGGGUGCAAGCGUUAUCCGGAUUUAUUGGGUUUAAAGGGUCCGUAGGCGGAUCUGUAAGUCAGUGGUGAAAUCUCACAGCUUAACUGUGAAACUGCCAUUGAUACUGCAGGUCUUGAGUAAAUUUGAAGUGGCUGGAAUAAGUAGUGUAGCGGUGAAAUGCAUAGAUAUUACUUAGAACACCAAUUGCGAAGGCAGGUCACUAAGAUUUAACUGACGCUGAUGGACGAAAGCGUGGGGAGCGAACAGGAUUAGAUACCCCCGAGUCCCUGUCUCUUAUACA
Molecule: ribosomal RNA, 301 nt
Filed under: uncultured bacterium
Lineage: Bacteria
Description: partial 16S ribosomal RNA
Rfam family: Bacterial small subunit ribosomal RNA
Source: RNAcentral